This 1095-nucleotide long non-coding RNA is filed under the name Zea mays. Its description in RNAcentral is "long non-coding RNA (ZMAY_LNC001146)". The record is from RNAcentral. Lineage: Eukaryota; Viridiplantae; Streptophyta; Magnoliopsida; Poales; Poaceae.
UGCACUGAAUGCAAUUGAAACAAAGACCACUUCUUUAUGAAAACACAGCAUCAGCAGUGCACCAAUAUUCAACAAUGGGUUACUUAUAAAAGGUUAGCCGAAUGCAGACGAACACUGUUGUGGACUGGCAGGUCAGACAGAAUGUAUGCCUCAAAAGUUAAGCUCAUAAGAUAGCUUCGCACAUCUAAUUGGUUCAUCACUCCUGCCAACCAGAUGCACUGAAUGCAAUUGAAACAAAGACCACUUCUUCAUGAAAACACAGCAGCAGCAGUGCACCAAUAUUCAACAAUGGGUUACUUAUAAAAGGUUAGCAGAAUGCAGACGAACACUGAUGUGGACUGGCAGGUCAGACAGAAUGUAUGCCUCAAAAGUUAAGCUCACAAGAUAGCUUCGCACAUCUAAUUGGUUCAUCACUCCUGCCAACCAGAUGCACUGAAUGCAAUUGAAACAAAGACCGCUUCUUUAUGAAAACACAGCAUCAGCAGUGCACCAAUAUUCAACAAUGGGUUACUUAUAAAAGGUUAGCAGAAUGCAGACGAACAAUGUUGUGGACUGGCAGGUCAGACAGAAUGUAUGCCUCAAAAGUUAAGCCCAUAAGAUAGCUUCGCACAUCUAAUUGGUUCAUCACUCCUGCUAACCAGAUGCACUGAAUGCAAUUGAAACAAAGACCACUUCUUCAUGAAAACACAGCAGCAGCAGUGCACCAAUAUUCAAUAAUGGGUUACUUAUAAAAGGUUAGCAGAAUGCAGACGAACACUGUUGUGGACUGGCAGGUCAGACAGAAUGUAUGCCUCAAAAGUUACGCUCAUAAGAUAGCUUCGCACAUCUAAUUGGUUCAUCACUCCUGCCAACCCAAUGCACUGAAUGCAAUUGAAACAAAGAUAGUGGAUUGUCACAAGUGGACACAAACUGAUUGCUAUGAAACAAAGAUAAUGGGUAGUCACAAGUGAACGCAAAGGAAUGGGAAAUGUCCCACCCGUGAAAAUCAACUGCUGGAGUGGACUAGGCAGAUGACAAAGUAUGGGUGGGUGUCAAUCUCUGGAGCCAUGGGUGAACCCAAUGCCACACAUAUAGGUCGGCGAGUCAAUAACCCAC